UAAAAAUCAAAACUUCCAUUAGACAUUUGAAAUCUGGCAUUUAAUUUUGUCAGCAGGAAAAGAAGAAGAUGUGCUUCCUCCUCUCAUCUGUGCAUGUGGAUGUAACCAGACUCCAAAGGAUUGUAUAACAACAUAGCCUACCUCAUUGACUCAGUACCUGCAAGGAAGCUACCCACCAACCUUCAUAUCCACACCAUACUAUUCCAUUCACGCUCAUGCUCCUCUGAUUCCUGCCACAAAAAUCUGGCAAAUCCUGCAAACCCUGCUCCCAGAUACAUUCUUACACAGGAGUACACAGGGAUUUGGCUCUUCUUAUAACCGAAACACAGAAGAGAUCAGAUUAAAAGGAAAAGAUGCCCACCCUAUUAUGGAUAUAAAGCAGGAAGAAGGCAUAAACAUGCCCCUGCCUUCCUCGUUCUCAUACUGCCACCUAACACAGGGACACUUUGCCAUGCUUUGGCUACUCUGA
This 469-nucleotide long non-coding RNA is filed under the name Felis catus (domestic cat). RNAcentral describes it as "lncRNA (ENSFCAG00000045158.2)". Lineage: Eukaryota; Metazoa; Chordata; Mammalia; Carnivora; Felidae. The record is from RNAcentral.